GACGAACGCUGGCGGCGUGCUUAACACAUGCAAGUCGAACGGAAAGGCCCUGCUUUUGUGGGGUGCUCGAGUGGCGAACGGGUGAGUAACACGUGAGUAACCUGCCCUUGACUUUGGGAUAACUUCAGGAAACUGGGGCUAAUACCGGAUAGGAGCUCCUGCUGCAUGGUGGGGGUUGGAAAGUUUCGGCGGUUGGGGAUGGACUCGCGGCUUAUCAGCUUGUUGGUGGGGUAGUGGCUUACCAAGGCUUUGACGGGUAGCCGGCCUGAGAGGGUGACCGGCCACAUUGGAACUGGGAUACGGCCCAGACUCCAAGGGGAGGCAGCAGUGGGAAAUAUUGCACAAUGGGCGGAGGCCUGAUGCGGCAACGCCGCGUGCGGGAUAACGGCCUUCGGGUUGUAAACCGCUUUAGCCGGUGACGAGGCGUGAGUGACGGUAAUGGGUAAAGAAGAACCGGCUAACUACGU
Molecule: ribosomal RNA, 467 nt
Filed under: uncultured bacterium
Lineage: Bacteria
Description: partial 16S ribosomal RNA
Rfam family: Bacterial small subunit ribosomal RNA
Source: RNAcentral